UACAGAGGGUGCUAGCGUUGUUCGGAAUCAUUGGGCGUAAAGGGCGUGUAGGCGGUUUGCUAAGUCAUGUGUGAAAUCCCUCGGCUUAACCGGGGAACGACGCAUGAAACUGGCAAGCUAGAGUACCAAAGAGGGGGUGGAAUUCCCGGCGUAGCGGUGAAAUGCGUAGAUAUCGGGAGGAACACCUGUGGCGAAGGCGGCCUCCUGGUUGGAUACUGACGCUGAUACGCGAAAGCGUGGGGAGCAAACAGG
RNAcentral lists this ribosomal RNA (252 nucleotides) under uncultured bacterium. Its description in RNAcentral is "partial 16S ribosomal RNA". It matches the Rfam family "Bacterial small subunit ribosomal RNA", at positions 524 to 776 of the family's 1533-position model. The record is from RNAcentral.